RNAcentral lists this ribosomal RNA (500 nucleotides) under uncultured bacterium. RNAcentral describes it as "partial 16S ribosomal RNA". It matches the Rfam family "Bacterial small subunit ribosomal RNA", at positions 30 to 523 of the family's 1533-position model. The record is from RNAcentral.
AUUGAACGCUGGCGGCAUGCCUUACACAUGCAAGUCGAACGGCAGCACGGGAGCAAUCCUGGUGGCGAGUGGCGAACGGGUGAGUAAAGUAUCGGAACGUGCCCAGUCGUGGGGGAUAACGUAGCGAAAGUUACGCUAAUACCGCAUACGAUCUAUGGAUGAAAGCGGGGGAUCGCAAGACCUCGCCCGAUUGGAGCGGCCGAUAUCAGAUUAGGUAGUUGGUGGGGUAAAGGCUCACCAAGCCGACGAUCUGUAGCUGGUCUGAGACGACGAGCAGCCACACUGGGAAUGAGACACGGCCCAGACUCCUACGGGAGGCAGCAGUGGGGAAGUUUGGACAAUGGGCGAAAGCCUGAUCCAGCCAUGCCGCGUGCAGGAUGAAGGCCUUCGGGUUGUAAACUGCUUUUAUACGGAACGAAAAGGUUUGGCCUAAUAAGCUGAGCUCAUGACGGUACCGUAAGAAUAAGCACCGGCUAACUACGUGCCAGCAGCCGCAGUAA